GCCGAAGUGGUGGAACUGGCAGACGCGCUGCGUUCAGGUCGCAGUGAGGGAAACCUCGUGGGGGUUCGAAUCCCCCCUUCGGCACCA
This 87-nucleotide transfer RNA is filed under the name Candidatus Latescibacterota bacterium. RNAcentral's name for it is "Candidatus Latescibacteria bacterium tRNA-Leu". It matches the Rfam family "tRNA". From Rfam's summary of the family: Transfer RNA (tRNA) molecules are approximately 80 nucleotides in length. Their secondary structure includes four short double-helical elements and three loops (D, anti-codon, and T loops). Lineage: Bacteria; Pseudomonadati; Candidatus Latescibacterota. The record is from RNAcentral.